RNAcentral lists this ribosomal RNA (532 nucleotides) under uncultured bacterium. Its description in RNAcentral is "bacterial SSU rRNA". It matches the Rfam family "Bacterial small subunit ribosomal RNA", at positions 8 to 526 of the family's 1533-position model. The record is from RNAcentral.
AGAGUUUGAUCAUGGCUCAGGACGAACGCUGGCGGCGCGCUUAACACAUGCAAGUCGAGCGAGAACCAGGCCUUCGGGCCUGGGGACAGCGGCGAACGGGUGAGUAACACGUGGGUAAUCAACCCUCGGUACUGGGAUAGCCCGGGGAAACCCGGAUUAAUACCGGAUGGCCCUUCGGAUCUUCGGUUCUGAAGGAAAAGGUAGCUUCGGCCUCCGACCGAGGACGAGCCCGCGGCGGAUUAGCUUGUUGGUGGGGUAACGGCCUACCAAGGCAGCGAUCUGUAGCUGGUCUGAGAGGACGAUCAGCCACACUGGGACUGAGACACGGCCCAGACUCCUACGGGAGGCAGCAGUGGGGAAUCUUGCGCUAAUGCGGGAAACCGUGACGCAGCGACGCCGCGUGAGGGAAGAAGGCCUUCGGGUUGUAAACCUCUUUCAGGAGGGACGAAGCUACUCGGGUUAAUAGCCCAGAGGGUGACGGUACCUCCAGAAGAAGCCCCGGCUAACUACGUGCCAGCCGCCGCGGUAAUAC